UACGAAGGGGGCUAGCGUUGCUCGGAAUCACUGGGCGUAAAGCGCACGUAGGCGGCUCUCUAAGUCAGGGGUGAAAUCCUGGAGCUCAACUCCAGAACUGCCUUUGAUACUGGAGAGCUUGAGUCCGGGAGAGGUGAGUGGAACUCCGAGUGUAGAGGUGAAAUUCGUAGAUAUUCGCAAGAACACCAGUGGCGAAGGCGGCAUCCUGGACCGGUAUUGACGCUGAGGCGCGAAAGCCAGGGGAGCAAACGGG
RNAcentral lists this ribosomal RNA (253 nucleotides) under uncultured bacterium. RNAcentral describes it as "partial 16S ribosomal RNA". It matches the Rfam family "Bacterial small subunit ribosomal RNA", at positions 524 to 776 of the family's 1533-position model. The record is from RNAcentral.